Long non-coding RNA from Lacerta agilis (Sand lizard), 231 nucleotides. RefSeq lists it as uncharacterized. Lineage: Eukaryota; Metazoa; Chordata; Lepidosauria; Squamata; Lacertidae. The transcript is spliced from 3 exons. The record is from RefSeq and is a predicted model, not a curated record.
UUCAUCUUGUUUUGGGGGAAGACAGUUGGGAACAAGGGUCCAGAGGAGGGGAGAUGUCUUUCUGCACAACAAACAUAUGAAAUGGACACAAACGUCCAAAUGCUCUCAGCAGGUGACAGAAUGAUGCCGACAAGACCUCCUGAUCCGUCUUUUCAUGGGGACAGAAGAGAAGUAGAUGCUGUGGAACCAGAUCAGGGUCCAGUGUGCUUUGAAGAUGUCGCUGUUUGUUUC